UGGAUGAACGCUGGCGGCGUGCCUAAUACAUGCAAGUCGAACGAGUUCUCGUUGAUGAUCGGUGCUUGCACCGAGAUUCAACAUGGAACGAGUGGCGGACGGGUGAGUAACACGUGGGUAACCUGCCCUUAAGUGGGGGAUAACAUUUGGAAACAGAUGCUAAUACCGCAUAGAUCCAAGAACCGCAUGGUUCUUGGCUGAAAGAUGGCGUAAGCUAUCGCUUUUGGAUGGACCCGCGGCGUAUUAGCUAGUUGGUGAGGUAAUGGCUCACCAAGGCGAUGAUACGUAGCCGAACUGAGAGGUUGAUCGGCCACAUUGGGACUGAGACACGGCCCAAACUCCUACGGGAGGCAGCAGUAGGGAAUCUUCCACAAUGGACGCAAGUCUGAUGGAGCAACGCCGCGUGAGUGAAGAAGGCUUUCGGGUCGUAAAACUCUGUUGUUGGAGAAGAAUGGUCGGCAGAGUAACUGUUGUCGGCGUGACGGUAUCCAACCAGAAAGCCACGGCUAACUACGUGCCAGCAGCCGCGGUAAUACGUAGGUGGCAAGCGUUAUCCGGAUUUAUUGGGCGUAAAGCGAGCGCAGGCGGUUUUUUAAGUCUGAUGUGAAAGCCCUCGGCUUAACCGAGGAAGCGCAUCGGAAACUGGGAAACUUGAGUGCAGAAGAGGACAGUGGAACUCCAUGUGUAGCGGUGAAAUGCGUAGAUAUAUGGAAGAACACCAGUGGCGAAGGCGGCUGUCUGGUCUGUAACUGACGCUGAGGCUCGAAAGCAUGGGUAGCGAACAGGAUUAGAUACCCUGGUAGUCCAUGCCGUAAACGAUGAAUGCUAGGUGUUGGAGGGUUUCCGCCCUUCAGUGCCGCAGCUAACGCAUUAAGCAUUCCGCCUGGGGAGUACGACCGCAAGGUUGAACCUCAAAGGAAUUGACGGGGGCCCGCACAAGCGGUGGAGCAUGUGGUUUAAUUCGAAGCAACGCGAAGAACCUUACCAGGUCUUGACAUCUUUUGAUCACCUGAGAGAUCAGGUUUCCCCUUCGGGGGCAAAAUGACAGGUGGUGCAUGGUUGUCGUCAGCUCGUGUCGUGAGAUGUUGGGUUAAGUCCCGCAACGAGCGCAACCCUUAUGACUAGUUGCCAGCAUUUAGUUGGGCACUCUAGUAAGACUGCCGGUGACAAACCGGAGGAAGGUGGGGAUGACGUCAAAUCAUCAUGCCCCUUAUGACCUGGGCUACACACGUGCUACAAUGGAUGGUACAACGAGUUGCGAGACCGCGAGGUCAAGCUAAUCUCUUAAAGCCAUUCUCAGUUCGGACUGUAGGCUGCAACUCGCCUACACGAAGUCGGAAUCGCUAGUAAUCGCGGAUCAGCACGCCGCGGUGAAUACGUUCCCGGGCCUUGUACACACCGCCCGUCACACCAUGAGAGUUUGUAACACCCGAAGCCGGUGGCGUAACCCUUUUAGGGAGCGAGCCGUCUAAGGUGGGACAAAUGAU
Molecule: ribosomal RNA, 1487 nt
Filed under: uncultured organism
Description: SSU rRNA
Rfam family: Bacterial small subunit ribosomal RNA
Source: RNAcentral